Molecule: ribosomal RNA, 399 nt
Filed under: uncultured microorganism
Description: bacterial SSU rRNA
Rfam family: Archaeal small subunit ribosomal RNA
Source: RNAcentral
GCGCACCAGUCGAGAAUCCUUCGCAAUGCGGGAAACCGCGACGAGGGGACUCCCAGUGCCUACGCUCAGCGUAGGCUGUUCCCGAGCCUAGAAAGCUCGGGGAGUAAGGGCUGGGUAAGACGGGUGCCAGCCGCCGCGGUAAUACCCGCAGCCCGAGUGGUGGCCACUAUUAUUGGGCCUAAAGCGUCCGUAGCCGGCCCGGUAAAUGCCUGGGUAAAUCGUGAGGCCUAACCUCACGAAUUCCGGGUAGACUGCCGGGCUAGGGACCGGAGGAGGGAGAGGGUACUCCAGGGGUAGGGGUGAGAUCCUGUAAUCCCUGGAGGACCACCGGUGGCGAAGGCGCUCUCCUAGGACGGGUCCGACGGUGGGGGACGAAAGCCAGGGGAGCGAACCGGAUUA